GACGAACGCUGGCGGCGUGCUUAACACAUGCAAGUCGAACGAGAAGAGAUGAGAAGCUUGCUUCUUAUUAAUUCGAGUGGCAAACGGGUGAGUAACGCGUAAGCAACCUGCCCUUCAGAUGGGGACAACAGCUGGAAACGGCUGCUAAUACCGAAUACGUUCUUUUUGUCGCAUGGCAGAGGGAAGAAAGGGAGGCUCCUCGGAGCUUUCGCUGAAGGAGGGGCUUGCGUCUGAUUAGCUAGUUGGAGGGGUAACGGCCCACCAAGGCGACGAUCAGUAGCCGGUCUGAGAGGAUGAACGGCCACAUUGGGACUGAGACACGGCCCAGACUCCUACGGGAGGCAGCAGUGGGAAUC
This 356-nucleotide ribosomal RNA is filed under the name uncultured bacterium. RNAcentral's name for it is "bacterial SSU rRNA". It matches the Rfam family "Bacterial small subunit ribosomal RNA", at positions 28 to 363 of the family's 1533-position model. The record is from RNAcentral.